AUUGAACGCUGGCGGCAUGCCUAACACAUGCAAGUCGAACGAGUGGCGGACGGGUGAGUAAUGUCUGGGAAACUGCCUGAUGGAGGGGGCUAACUACUGGAAACCGUAGCUAAUACCGCAUACUAUCGGAUCUGCCCACAGGGGAUUAGCUAGUAGGUGGGGUAAAGGCUCACCUAGGCGACGAUCCCUAGCUGGUCUGAGAGGAUGACCAGCCACACUGGAACUGAGACACGGUCCAGACUCCUACGGGAGGCAGCAGUGGGGAAUAUUGGACAAUGGGCGCAAGCCUGAUCCAGCCAUGCCGCGUGUAUGAAGAAGGCCUUCGGGUUGUAAAGUACUUUCGGCAGAGAAGCGGUAUCUGCAGAAGAAGCACCGGCUAACUACGUGCCAGCAGCCGCGGUAAUUC
This 406-nucleotide ribosomal RNA is filed under the name uncultured bacterium. Its description in RNAcentral is "partial 16S ribosomal RNA". It matches the Rfam family "Bacterial small subunit ribosomal RNA", at positions 30 to 526 of the family's 1533-position model. The record is from RNAcentral.